Molecule: long non-coding RNA, 1008 nt
Organism: Saccostrea cuccullata (small rock oyster)
Lineage: Eukaryota; Metazoa; Mollusca; Bivalvia; Ostreida; Ostreidae
Exons: 5
Source: RefSeq, a predicted model, not a curated record
CAUGACUGUGGAGAGAAAUGUGGAGCGUGUCAGGGGUAUAAACAAUGUAAUCACAUCAAUGGUUCGUGUACUGAAGGCUGCGACGCUGGAUUUACGGGAGAGCUCUGUUGUUCUGUUGGUACAUUUGGAAAUAAUUGUGAGCAGAACUGUAAUAAAAACUGUGGCGUGCCAUAUCAAUGUGACAGAACAACAGGUGAAUGUGAGGGUGGAUAUCAUCCAGGGUGGGAAGGACCUCAAUGUGAACAAGCAUGCACAGAAAACAGAUAUGGUCAAAACUGCAGUUUUGCCUGUGGGUUUUGUCAGGACUCUCUUUGCCAUCAUGUAAAUGGUUCCUGCACAGGGCCGUAUAUUGAAGGGUAUCAAGGGACAUUAUGCAAUCAGGUGUGUUAUAAAGGCUAUUAUGGAGCUGAUUGCGAAGAAAGAUGCAGUUUAUAUUGCAAGACAUCACGUGACUGUCACCACGUGACUGGAUAUUGUAAGGAUGGAUGUAUUGGUGGAUGGCAAGGAUUGAAAUGUUUGCAAGGACAAUAUCCUUUCUUUUAUUUGUAUGGGUCAGCUUGGGUGAAUUGUUUCACUCCAAAUACAUGCCUUCAAUGCUCCUUAUUUAUGUGGUUAUUCUAAGGUAAUAUAAUUGAAAAUCGCGAACUAUUUUUUUCUCUCUCUCUCGAUACAAUGGCAGAAAGAAAGGCUGACAUGGAUCCUCCGUCAUGGUUCUAUGGCGUGUUUGCAGUCAUAGGAGUCUGCAUAGUUGUAUUUUUGGUGGUUUGUACCUACAUUGCUUUCAAUAGAAGGAGAGUCAGACAAAAGAAGGAGAAACAGAAGCUAAGUGGGGUGGGUGAUAAAAGAAAGUCAGUAAAGUUGGAACUUUACACAAUUCCUUUCAAAACGGACGAAGAUGACGGUAACAGAUAUCAGGCGCUUGGUGAAGUAAUAAAGCAAUCCCAAUAUGAAGACUUGAGAUAAAUAUCUUCUCAAAUCGAUAUAAUAGUUGAAUUACAUUAAGACCAA